This is a non-coding RNA of Camellia sinensis, 680 nucleotides long. The record is from RefSeq and is a predicted model, not a curated record. NCBI's taxonomy places the organism in Eukaryota, Viridiplantae, Streptophyta, Magnoliopsida, Ericales, Theaceae.
CUUGAUUCGAUGGUUAAUCACGAGGUCUGUUUCAGGGGAUGCCCUCAUUGCAUUGAAGGAUGCGCUGAAUGCUUCAACUGAUCAGCUUAAAAAUUGGAAUCAAAAUCAAGUGAAUCCAUGCACUUGGACCAAAGUUACCUGUGACUCCAACUAUAAUGUCACUCUUGUAUCAUUGUCCUCCAUGGGGUUUUCUGGAUCCUUGUCCCCUAAAAUAGGAGCUCUGAAUACCCUUCAAACACUGUAUGUUUAGAGAACUACAGGCUGGCUACAAUUAAUAUUCCUGAAGCUAUUUGUGUUAACUUUUUGCAUUGGAAUAUUGUUCCUGGGAGUUGAAGAUUUUAUAUAUAAGUUUAUAGAACUUAAAAGCAUGGACACAUGAUAUUACACAGACACAACACAAGCAAGCCGACAUGGCAAUUUUCAAAACCUAUAGGACACGACACAUGGGGAAUAUGCACAAAAUAUAUGAUUUUAUAUAUUUAUUUUAUGUCAUAUAUAUGAAUAUUUCAUUCAAAGUUAAUAAAAAUAUACAACAUAAUACGAAUUUGUAAAGUGUAAAGAAGGAUUUAUUACUAGGAACAGAACUAUGGUGAUGCUUUCCUAACUAGCAAGCUUCACAUUCGAGCUUAGACACAUGACUCAAACAACAAACUGCUAACUUAAGCUUAGCCAAAGACGGA